Oncorhynchus nerka (sockeye salmon) is the source of this 592-nucleotide long non-coding RNA. RefSeq lists it as uncharacterized. The record is from RefSeq and is a predicted model, not a curated record. Lineage: Eukaryota; Metazoa; Chordata; Actinopteri; Salmoniformes; Salmonidae. The transcript has 4 exons.
CCUCCUCAGUACUACGGGGUGACUCCCUGGGAGUGUAUCCAGCCAAUCUGUUCCAGCAACAGGCUGCGGCCGCCAACAACUCAGCCAAUCAACAGGCUCAAGGACAGAACCAACAACAGGUGAUGCGUGGGGGUGGUAACCAGCGACCCCUGACCCCUAGCCAAGGUCAACAGGGUCAGCAGAACGACCAGCUGAUCGCCGCCGCAGCAGUCAACUCAGCUCUCGCCUUCGGACAGGGGCUGGCUGCCGGCGUGCCUGGCUAUCCCAUGCUGGCUCCAGCUGCUUACUAUGACCAGACGGGGGCGCUAGUGGUCAACACCGGAUCUAGGGGCGGACCCGUACGCCUCAUGACCCCCGCAGGCUCAGUUAUUAUCUCUCCCUCCGCUGCACAAGCAGUAUCUCUGUCACUCUGUCACCCUAAUACAGUAUCUCUGUCACUCUGUCACCCUAAUACAGUAUCUCUGUCACUCUGUCACCCUAAUACAGUAUCUCUGUCACUCUGUCACCCUAAUACAGUAUCUCUGUCACUCAGUCACCCUAAUACAGUAUCUCUGUCACUCAGUCACCCUAAUACGGUAUCUCUGUCACUCAG